Molecule: unclassified non-coding RNA, 148 nt
Filed under: uncultured Mycosphaerellaceae
Lineage: Eukaryota; Fungi; Ascomycota; Dothideomycetes; Mycosphaerellales; Mycosphaerellaceae
Also listed under: 1 other name
Description: sequence contains ITS2
Source: RNAcentral
ACCCACCUCAAGCCUCGCUUGGUGUUGGGCGUCGCGGCCGCCGCGCGCCCUAAUGUCCCCGGCCGAGCCGGCCGUCCCGAAGCGUUGUGGCGUCUACUGUGCCGCUUCCGGGACCGGUCUGGCGGUGUGCCGUCAAACCCCCUUCAAA